UAAGCCCACACAGAAAACCAGCCAUUAAUCUGCAGUUUAUCUCUCUCUUAUUGCUCCUGGCUUUAUCCAUCUGUGUCCCUCAGACAAAGCAUUUUGCAACCCUUGCCCAGCACUUGUCCAUCAGUAUUCUCCAGACAAAGAAUUUCUCAACCCUGGUCAAGGACUUGUUCAUCUGUGUCCCCAGCAAGCUUUGAGGCAGUGGCAUAAAAUAAUAAUCUCUUAGACCAUUGGUGACAGUGGCAGCAGGGCGUCCCCAGCCUCCAGGAGCAGCCAUCUCCCACAGAGCGUGAUGUGAGGUCUGCAAGCACAACGUGCUGGUGAGGAGUAGAUGAUCAAACCCUUUCAUGUACGUUUUCCAGGUCUGGAUCUCCAGGUGGUGCAUGUUGCUGCAGCCCUGUUCAGAUCAGCACAGCAACACUAAUCGAAGCCAGGUCUCAGAUGGAGAGGAACAGUCAUGUCAGACGUGUGCUGUGUCAGUAACAGAUGGGAGAAAGAAGAACCAAGACCCCAAACUGUCAGGAUUGCUACCGAAUCCACGCACAAAUGUACUGGCAGAGGUUAUGUUCAUUUCAAGACUGGUGCUGAUGGUGCACCAUAGAAACUACAGAAACUGAGAGAGCUGAAGGAGGACGACAAACCUUGUGGAGUUUGAGACUAGAGUGAAACCCCAUGAAGUUCCCUUUAAUGGUAGGAAAGUGAAACACUAAUACUUCGAUGCUGUAGUAACUAACGAGCAGCUGAGAUUUUCAUAAAAUCCACAAGCGUUUAAGAACAAAUUUAAUUACAGCCCAGCAUUGAAAUUCAUGUCAGUAUAACCUCCCCUAAUUGCCCAAACUUACUGAUUGCCUUCAUUUAUUCUUCGUGGCAAGUUACUCUUGAGACUGUAAGAUACGGUCCUUGGAUAUAUACAGCAUUAGUGACUGAAGACUGAUACACUGCAGCAAAAUGAUGCUAUUUAAACCUGCAGAACUAAUUUCACACAUACACACACCACAUCAAUCUUUGUUUUUUAACCACUUUAAAAAGUAACUCGCUUCUGUACUGGGGAAAAUAUUAGUCAUCAUCAUGGCUUUUAGCAACACUGAAAGAAAAGGACAACAAAAAAAUUAGCAUCGCGCCACGAGCCAUCCACAGCCUACUUUUGCUCGAAUGGCAUCCUAAAUGUGCCCCAGGAGGCAGCAGGAAAACGUGAAGUUGCCUCAGUGAUGCCAUUUACAGGAGCAGAUCGCUACCUCAGAGAGUGCAAGUCCAGAUGAAGCUCACAUAGCUAACCUGAGGAGAGCAAAAGAGAUCAAUAGGAUCAGCUUUCACCUGUGCUUUCAGCAUGAGAGCUUACAGGAAAUUAAGUGGAAUUUAAUGUAACGGCAUAAUAUCAUACGGAUAUUUAAUUGCAUGGUAAUAUAAGACAUAAAGCAUUCCCCAAAGUUUAUCCUGCUAGUUAAUUUGGUUAAUUAGAUAUUUAGCACUUGCUCCCCCAUCUCCCAUUUCCUCAUCUCUGAAAGAAAUGUUGAUCAAUUUGUUCAUUAUUGGCUCCUGCUAUGGAAUAAUUCACUCUCCUUUGUCAGUAUAUCAUAGCAUAUGUCUAGAAAGGAAAGAAGCGAAAUAAAAGAUCGAAAACACAAAGAGAGGAUUUUAAA
RNAcentral lists this long non-coding RNA (1637 nucleotides) under Phasianus colchicus (ring-necked pheasant). RNAcentral describes it as "lncRNA (ENSPCLG00000009204.1)". The record is from RNAcentral. Lineage: Eukaryota; Metazoa; Chordata; Aves; Galliformes; Phasianidae.